This 381-nucleotide long non-coding RNA is filed under the name Phasianus colchicus (ring-necked pheasant). Its description in RNAcentral is "lncRNA (ENSPCLG00000016525.1)". The record is from RNAcentral. Lineage: Eukaryota; Metazoa; Chordata; Aves; Galliformes; Phasianidae.
GGGCAGGGAUGUGGGGCAGGGAUGUGGGGCAGGGAUGUGGGGCAGCUCUGGGGUGCUGCUAUGGGGCAGCUGUGGGACAUGAGGACAGACGUGGGGACACAACAGGACACGGGGACGUCGGGAUGGGACGCCGUGAGGGGACAGCGGGACAGACGGGGGGACAGACGGACACACGGACAGCCGUGGGGACACACAGCUGUGGGGACAGAGGGCUACGGGGACAGACAGACGGACAGCCAUUAGGACAGAUGGACAGACAGAUGGACAGACAGAUGGACAGGCAGGCGGACAGGCAGGCGGACAGGCAGAUGGACAGACACACAAGCAGGCGGACAGACAGACGGACAGGCAGGCAGACGGACAGGCGGACGGACGGACGGA